Molecule: long non-coding RNA, 3463 nt
Organism: Homo sapiens (human)
Lineage: Eukaryota; Metazoa; Chordata; Mammalia; Primates; Hominidae
Gene: JPX
Product: JPX transcript, XIST activator
Source: Ensembl
GGAAGACUUAAGAUGGCGGCGUUUGCACGGAGUGCAAUCACUGCGUCCUUACGGGGGUUGCAAGGCGUCCGAAGUAUGAGUCCACUAACAAAAGUCCAGAAACUCGCCAGUUAAUAGUAUUGUGUCUCUUCAAAAUAUCGGAGAAUAAUUUCUUUCUCGCUGAUCGCCUAACUUCUACUGACGAAGCUUGGAAGUUGCAGAAGAAAUACAAAAAAAAUUCUAAAACUUGUAUGGAACUACAAAAGACAUUAAAUAAUCAAAGUAAUCUUGAGCAACAAGGACACAGCUGGAGGCAUCACUCUACCUGAUUUUGUAAUCCAUUAUCAAAAAACUGUGGUACCAGCAUAAAAACAGAUUCACUGACCAGUGGAACAGGAAAGCCCAGACAUAACUCAUACAUUUCCAUCCAAUUGAUUUUUGACAAAAGUGGCACACAGAAUGGGGAGAGGACAAAUAAAUAAAUAAAUUGUUUUGAGAUAUCUGUAUAUCUAUAUGUGAAAUUGAACCAUUUUCUCAUAGCAUAUAGAAAAAUCAACUCAAAAUGGAUUAAAGCCUGAAAUGUUGCCUUUGAAACUGUAAAACUACUAGUAGAAAAUAUAGGGGAAAAGCUCUAUGAUGUUGUUCUGGGCAAUGAUUUCUUGGAUACAUCCUUAAAAGCAUGGGCAGCAAAAACAGCCAGACAACUAUCAGGGAACCUGCCCAGAUAGUCACAUAGGUUCUUUUCUAUUUUCCCUAAGCAUUGGCCGGGUUGAGAAAUAAAGGGACAGAGUACAAAAGAGAGAAAUUUUAAAGCUGGGCAUCCUGGGGAGACAUCACAUGUCGGUAGGUUCCGUGAUGCCCCCUGAGCCGUAAAACCAGUAAGUUUUUAUUAGGGAUUUUCAAAGGGGAGGGAGUAUACGAAUAGGAGGUGGGUCACAGAGAUCACGUGCUUCACAAGGUAAUAGAAUAUCACAAGGCAAAUGGAGGCAGGGCGAGAUCACAGGACCACAGGACUGGGUUGAAAUUAAAAUUGCUAAUGAAGUUUCGGGCACCAUCGUCAUUGAUAACAUCUUAUCAGGAGACAGGGUUUGAGAGCAACCUGUCUGACCAAAAUUUAUUAGGUGGGAAUUUCCUCGUCCUAAUAAGCCUGGGAGCGCUAUGGGAGACUGGGGCUUAUUUCAUCCCUACAGUCUCGACCAUAGAAGACAGCUACACCCAAGGGGGCCAUUUUAGAGGCCCACCCUCAGGGGCACAUUCUCUUUCUCAGGGAUGUUCCUUGCUGAGAAAAAGAAUUCGGCGAUAUUUCUCCCAUUUGCUUUUGAAAGAAGAGAAAUAUGGCUCUGUUCCGCCUGGCUCACCGGCGGUCAGAGUUUAAGGUUAUCUCUCUUAUUCCCUGAACAUUGCUGUUAUCCUGUUCUUUUUUCAAGGUGCCUAGAUUUCAUAUUGUUUAAACACACAUGCUCUACAAUUUCUGCACUUAACACAAUUAUCACAGGGUCCUGAGGCGACAUACGUCCUCCUCGGCUUACGAGAUGACAGGAUUAAGAGAUUAAAACAGGCAUAGGAAAUCACAAGGGUAUUGAUUGGGGAAGUGAUAAGUGUCCAUGAAAUCUUCACAAUUUAUGUUUAGAGAUUGCAGUAAAGACAGGCAUAAGAAAUUAUAAAAGUAUUAAUUUGGGGAACUAAUAAAUGUCCAUGAAAUCUUCACGAUCCACGUUCUUCCGCCAUGGCUUCAGCCAGUCCCUCCGUUUGGGGUCCCUGACUUCCCGCAACAGACAACUUGAGUUGCAUCAAACUAAAAAGCAUCUGCACUGCAAAGGGUACAGUUAACAGAAUGAAGACACGGGUUUUGAGAAACCAUUUUCAAAUCAUAUAUCUGAUAAGGGGCUAAUAUCCAAAAUGUAUUAAGAAACCCAAGCCCAAUAGCAAGAAAACAACUGUCUUUAAAAGGGGGAAAAGGACCUCAACUUAAAUUUUUCAGAGGAAGACAUGAGUGGCCAAUUGAUUGAUACAUGAAAAAAAUGCUCAACAUCUCUAAUCAUUAGUGAGUUGCAAAUCAAAACUGCAAGAUAUUACCUUACACCUUUUAGAAUGGCUAUUAUUAAAAGGAUGAAAGACAGGUGCUGGCAAGGAUGUGGAUAAAAGGAAGUCCCAACAUUCUGUUAGUGGGAAUAUAAAUUAGUAUAGCCAAUUUAGGAAACUAUAUGGUGGUUCCUUAAGAAACUAAAAGUACAAUUACUAUAUGAUCUAGCAAUCUCUACUUAGGUAUAUAUCCAAAGGAAUUGAAGCAGUAUGUUGAGAUCUUGCACUCCCUUAUUUUGAAAUUAUUUACAAAGCUAAUAAAUGGAAAAGACUUAAGUUUUCAUAACAGAUGAAUGGACAUAGAAGAUGUGUUGUAUAUACAUAUUGGAAUAUUUUUUAUCCUUGGAAAAGAAGGAAAAUUGUCAUUUGUGACAACAUGGAUGAAUCUGUAGUAUACUAUGCUAAGUGUUGUAAGACAGGCACAGAGAGGCAAAUACUACAUUAUAUUUGUAUGUGGAAUCUAAGAAAGGCUAACUCAUACAAGUAGAAAGUUGGAUGUUAUGGUUUCCAGGAUGUGGGUGUUGGAGAGAUGGGCAAAGGCAAGACGUUGGUCAAAGAGUACCAAUUUUCUGUUAGGAGGAAUAAGUUUUAGACAUAUUUCACAGCAUGGUGACCAUUGUCACUGACUGUAUAUUUUAAAAUUGUUAUAAGUAGAUAUUAAAGUUGUCACAACAAAAGUAGGUGAAGUUAUGGAUAUGUUAAUGUGCUUGAUUUAGUUAUUACACUAUGUAUACAUACAAAAACAUCAGAUAGUUCCCUGGAAUUAUAUACAAUUAUUACUUGUCAAUUAUAAAAAAAAGCCCUACUGCAACCACUAAAAAGGAUUUUCAUAUAAUAGAGGGAAAAAUCGUUAAAGAUAAUAAUACAUUAUUUUAGAAAAUAUUAACUUAUAAAAAGUAGUAUAGGAGGGAUUCUGUAAAAGAAGAUAGACAUAGAAUUUUAAAAUGUAUAAUGGAAAAUUUAAAUCCAGCUGUACUGAUGGAUCAAGCAAUCCAAACCAGUCUGAUUGACCAAGUGGAUAUUUAAAAAACAAUCAAACUAUAAGGUGUCUGUUGUAGGCAGUUUAUAAAAUACAAAAGUGUUGAAAGAAAUAGGAUGGAAAUAGAAAUAUCCAAGUAGCAACCACAAAAAAACUGGAAUGUCUGCACUAACAUCAUACAAAACAAACCAAAUGAAGGUUAAAAAUAUUGAAAUUAUACAAAAUAUGUUCUAUGACUAAAAUUUAAUGAAAUUAGAAAUAACACAGAGAUAGGAACUAUACAUAUUUGUGCAAAUUUAAAAAGUUAUGCUGAGUGUGGUGGCUCACACCUGUAAUCCCAGCACUUUGGGAGGCCGGGGAGGGUGGAUCACUUGAAGUCAGGAGUUGGAGACCAGCCUGGCCAACAUGGUGAAACCCUGUCUC